UUCAAAUGAAUUGACGGGGGCCCGCACAAGCGGUGGAGCAUGUGGUUUAAUUCGAUGCAACGCGAAGAACCUUACCUACUCUUGACAUCCACGGAAUUUGGCAGAGAUGCCUUAGUGCCUUCGGGAACCGUGAGACAGGUGCUGCAUGGCUGUCGUCAGCUCGUGUUGUGAAAUGUUGGGUUAAGUCCCGCAACGAGCGCAACCCUUAUCCUUUGUUGCCAGCGCGUGAUGGCGGGAACUCAAAGGAGACUGCCGGUGAUAAACUGGAGGAAGGUGGGGAUGACGUCAAGUCAUCAUGGCCCUUACGACCAGGGCUACACACGUGCUACAAUGGCAUAUACAAAGAGAAGCGACCUCGCGAGAGCAAGCGGACCUCAUAAAGUGCGUCGUAGUCCGGAUUGGAGUCUGCAACUCGACUCCAUGAAGUCGGAAUCGCUAGUAAUCGUAGAUCAGAAUGCUACGGUGAAUACG
This 471-nucleotide ribosomal RNA is filed under the name uncultured bacterium 90212com. Its description in RNAcentral is "bacterial SSU rRNA". It matches the Rfam family "Bacterial small subunit ribosomal RNA", at positions 900 to 1370 of the family's 1533-position model. The record is from RNAcentral.